This 497-nucleotide ribosomal RNA is filed under the name uncultured bacterium. RNAcentral's name for it is "partial 16S ribosomal RNA". It matches the Rfam family "Bacterial small subunit ribosomal RNA", at positions 28 to 507 of the family's 1533-position model. The record is from RNAcentral.
GAUGAACGCUGGCGGCGUGCCUAACACAUGCAAGUCGAGCGAACAGACGUGGAGCUUGUUCCUCUGACGUUAGUGGCGGACGGGCGAGUAACAUGUGGAUAACCUACCUAUCUGACUGGGAUAACUUCUGGAAACCGGUCAUAAUACCGGAUAAUUUAUUCAACCGUAUGGUUCAAUAGCGUAUGAUGGUUUUGCUUUCACUUAUAGAUGGUCCCGCGCCGCAUUAGCUAGUUGGUAAGGUAACGGCUUACCAAGGCGACGAUGCGUAGCCGACCUGAGAGGGUGAUCGGCCACACUGGGACUGAGGCACGGGCCAGACUCCGACGGGAGGCAGGAGUAGGGAAUCUUCGGCAAUGGGCGGAAGGCUGACGGAGCAACGCCGCGUAAGUGAUGAGGGUAUUCGGGUCGUAAAGCACUGUUAUUAGGGGAGAACAAAUGUGUAAGUAGCUGUGCAAGUAUUGACGGUACCUAAUCAGGAAGCAACGGCUAACUACGUG